This 685-nucleotide long non-coding RNA is filed under the name Gallus gallus (chicken). Its description in RNAcentral is "long non-coding RNA NONGGAT011600". The record is from RNAcentral. Lineage: Eukaryota; Metazoa; Chordata; Aves; Galliformes; Phasianidae.
CCUUUCAUGUUAUUCCUGGAGAACUAGCAAGCGUUCAGCGUGAAAUUCCCCCCCCCUUCUGAAGAGCCAUCCUCUGAGCACAAAGGUGAUGCUCGUUGUGCGGACCUCCAGCCGUUCUUCACUGCGAGCGGCAUGCAGUGAGUGUUGGGGCUGCCGGACAGCAGCAUCAGCGCGGCUGGGAAGGCUGGAAGAGAACGGGAACACAUUCGAGACAGAGAGAAAUGGCACAGUUUUUGGCUGCUCUGUCCUUAAUGUUUAGAUGAUGAAGUUUUCCUUCUCUGGUCCUUAAAUGAAGAUCACGUUGCAGAGCUCAAAGAGAAGUGGUAUUGAAUUAUGGCACUACAGGGCAGCCUGUAGCACGAGUACGCCCUCUCCUUCAGUAAGAACAGAAGAACAACGAAAAGAGGGGAAAAGAAAGGGAAGAUGCAAUAAGACACACUUUCAUGUACUUGUUUUUAAGAAUCACAGAAUACGUUCCUUCCAUCUUCUGCAAAGUCAAGGAGCAUUUCAAAAGCAUCCACACAGCCACACGCCUGGGAAUAUUGAGGCUCAUACCUCUCCUCCAUUGAUCUCUAAUUCUGCCAUUAUCCAACGAAAAAUACCAAUAGCAAUAAAACAGAGAACGAGAUGUGCCACAGACAGUCUUCAAACGGAUGGCUUGGCGAGUGAGAGGAGGAAAUGAAGC